Notothenia coriiceps (black rockcod) is the source of this 713-nucleotide long non-coding RNA. RefSeq lists it as uncharacterized. The record is from RefSeq and is a predicted model, not a curated record. The transcript is spliced from 3 exons. Lineage: Eukaryota; Metazoa; Chordata; Actinopteri; Perciformes; Nototheniidae.
UACACUGCAGUGCUAGAGUCUAUGAUAGCCUACUAUUUGAUUGGGGAAAUAAGGCUUCACUUGCGGCCGGGUCAAACUUGAAAAACUUGUUAUCUUUCUCUCCAAUGUAAAGUCAAGUUCUCAAUGGUUUGCUUUGUGGUGACGCUGUUGACUUGUGCGCGCUUUGUCAAGGAGUGGCUCCGAUCGAAGCAGCAACCAAAGUCCACAACUCAAAAACACGCCUGUCCGGGCACACAGGAAAGAUCGCUGACAAAGUUUGUCACAUUUUAACACAGGUGUCCAGGAAGGAUUUAUCCUACAGAAACGACAACAGUAAGAAAUGGGUGCCACCUUUAAUAAGAAGUGUCUGGUGCUGAUUUUGCUCGGUGGACUCCUGCUAGCCCUGUUUCAUGCUUGGAGCCCUGGGACCGGCUCAGCAGUUGACAUACAGCCAAGACAGGGGGGUCUUCUGAAGAAAAUAAUCGAAGAGAAAACUCGAGACACCAUUGGUGACUAUCAUGACAUUGCCUACAAUAUAAAGGAAGAUGUGGCAGGUAAUUUGGCUCAGAAUACAUGUAUGUGUCUGGCCGAUAAAGAGAGCUUUCGCCUGCCGUUUUCCAAUCUGCUGUUCCCAAGCGUUAGGGCCCACAAGUUUGAUGAGGCGUUCUUAGCAUCCCAUCCUGACCCCGAGGGUGUGAAGCGUCUCAGGGCUAAGGAGUACAGCAGGUUCCUAA